UUGACUGUCCAUCAUGGUAUCCUCUGUCUCUCGGCACCAAAAAUUCAGCAUGCUGCUCCUGGCAACAUUACUACUCAACUGUUUACUGGGAGUUUGGUCCUAUAUGAUUCAAAGCCAAUAACAUGCUGUAAGAGCGUAUCGUAUUCCGAGAGAUAUCACCAACUGUGUUCUGACUGACCCUACUGAUGGAUGCCUUGCUGCUGUCAUAUUUAUUUCCCCCAGGGAAAAUGAUCUGUACUCCCAGUGAGGGACGAUAUCUUCAGGAGACGCAAAAAUUAGCCAAGGAAGGCAGGCCCUGUUGGAGCGCAGCGUAAUGGAGAGAGUGAAAGACCAAACCUUCAUACGAAUGUUUUGUAAAGGACUAAAGUACUG
Alosa sapidissima (American shad) is the source of this 372-nucleotide long non-coding RNA. RefSeq lists it as uncharacterized. The transcript has 4 exons. Lineage: Eukaryota; Metazoa; Chordata; Actinopteri; Clupeiformes; Clupeidae. The record is from RefSeq and is a predicted model, not a curated record.